This 253-nucleotide ribosomal RNA is filed under the name uncultured bacterium. Its description in RNAcentral is "partial 16S ribosomal RNA". It matches the Rfam family "Bacterial small subunit ribosomal RNA", at positions 524 to 776 of the family's 1533-position model. The record is from RNAcentral.
UACGAAGGGUGCUAGCGUUGCUCGGAAUCACUGGGCGUAAAGGGUGCGUAGGCGGGGCUUUAAGUCAGGGGUGAAAUCCUGGAGCUCAACUCCAGAACUGCCUUUGAUACUGAAGAUCUUGAGUUCGGGAGAGGUGAGUGGAACUGCGAGUGUAGAGGUGAAAUUCGUAGAUAUUCGCAAGAACACCAGUGGCGAAGGCGGCUCACUGGCCUGAUACUGACGCUGAGGCACGAAAGCGUGGGGAGCAAACAGG